RNAcentral lists this ribosomal RNA (434 nucleotides) under uncultured Sphingobacterium sp. RNAcentral's name for it is "bacterial SSU rRNA". It matches the Rfam family "Bacterial small subunit ribosomal RNA", at positions 337 to 767 of the family's 1533-position model. The record is from RNAcentral. Lineage: Bacteria; Pseudomonadati; Bacteroidota; Sphingobacteriia; Sphingobacteriales; Sphingobacteriaceae.
UCCUACGGGAGGCAGCAGUAAGGAAUAUUGGUCAAUGGACGCAAGUCUGAACCAGCCAUGCCGCGUGAAGGAUGAAGGUCCUCUGGGUUGUAAACUUCUUUUAUAUGGGAAGAAAUGUGUCGGUUCUACGACACUUGACGGUACCAGAGGAAUAAGCACCGGCUAACUCCGUGCCAGCAGCCGCGGUAAUACGGAGGGUGCAAGCGUUAUCCGGAUUCACUGGGUUUAAAGGGUGCGUAGGUGGGCAGAUAAGUCAGUGGUGAAAUCUUUCGAGCUUAACUCGGAAACUGCCGUUGAUACUAUUUGUCUUGAAUAUUGUGGAGGUAAGCGGAAUAUGUCAUGUAGCGGUGAAAUGCUUAGAUAUGACAUAGAACACCAAUUGCGAAGGCAGCUUACUACACAAUUAUUGACACUGAGGCACGAAAGCGUGGCUA